Molecule: unclassified non-coding RNA, 264 nt
Filed under: uncultured fungus
Lineage: Eukaryota; Fungi
Description: partial contains small subunit ribosomal RNA, internal transcribed spacer 1, and 5.8S ribosomal RNA
Rfam family: Eukaryotic small subunit ribosomal RNA (bases 1-73)
Source: RNAcentral
GCAAACUUGGUCAUUUAGAGGAAGUAAAAGUCGUAACAAGGUUUCCGUAGGUGAACCUGCGGAAGGAUCAUUAACCAUCAUAUUCCUAUUCACUUUGUGUGCAAUUACAAAAAAGAUCUAUCUUUGGAAAGGUUAUUCUAUAACCUUUCCAAAGGUUAUUAUAACUGAUGAUUUCUUCUUCUUUUUUAUCCUAAGAAACAUCUUAAAAUAAAAACAACUUUCAACAACGGAUCUCUUGGCUCUCGCAUCGAUGAAGAACGCAGC